Pangasius djambal is the source of this 75-nucleotide non-coding RNA. The record is from the annotation of a GenBank genome assembly. NCBI's taxonomy places the organism in Eukaryota, Metazoa, Chordata, Actinopteri, Siluriformes, Pangasiidae.
CCACCCAUAGCUCAGCUGGUAAAGCCUGGGACCCUUGAUUUCAGGAUCGUGGGUUUGAGCCCCACUCUGGGCGGC